AAACUAUGAUGAGGAUACUAUCUUAAUAAACCUUUGAAUCUAACUCAUGCUUCAGAUAGUGAUUCUCCAUCUUCCUGAGCAAAAUUUGUAAUGCAAUUUCUCAUGUAC
Zingiber officinale is the source of this 108-nucleotide small nucleolar RNA. The record is from RefSeq and is a predicted model, not a curated record. Lineage: Eukaryota; Viridiplantae; Streptophyta; Magnoliopsida; Zingiberales; Zingiberaceae.